This 77-nucleotide transfer RNA is filed under the name Clostridium cochlearium. RNAcentral's name for it is "tRNA-Ile". It matches the Rfam family "tRNA". From Rfam's summary of the family: Transfer RNA (tRNA) molecules are approximately 80 nucleotides in length. Their secondary structure includes four short double-helical elements and three loops (D, anti-codon, and T loops). RNAcentral also lists the same sequence under 19 other names. The record is from RNAcentral. Lineage: Bacteria; Bacillati; Bacillota; Clostridia; Eubacteriales; Clostridiaceae.
GGGCCUGUAGCUCAGGUGGUUAGAGCGCACGCCUGAUAAGCGUGAGGUCGGUGGUUCGAGUCCACCCAGGCCCACCA